This 406-nucleotide ribosomal RNA is filed under the name Verrucomicrobiota bacterium. RNAcentral's name for it is "Verrucomicrobia bacterium partial 16S ribosomal RNA". It matches the Rfam family "Bacterial small subunit ribosomal RNA", at positions 355 to 776 of the family's 1533-position model. The record is from RNAcentral. Lineage: Bacteria; Pseudomonadati; Verrucomicrobiota.
UGGGGAAUAUUGGACAAUGGAGGAAACUCUGAUCCAGCAAUUCUGUGUGUGUGAAGAAGGUUUUAGGACUGUAAAACACUUUUAGUAGGGAAGAAAAAAAUGACGGUACCUACAGAAGAAGCAACGGCUAAAUACGUGCCAGCAGCCGCGGUAAUACGUAAGGUCCGAGCGUUGUCCGGAAUCAUUGGGCGUAAAGGGUACGUAGGCGGAUAAGCAAGUUAGAAGUGAAAUCCUAUAGCUCAACUAUAGUAAGCUUUUAAAACUGCUCAUCUUGAGGUAUGGAAGGGAAAGUGGAAUUCCUAGUGUAGCGGUGAAAUGCGCAGAUAUUAGGAGGAAUACCGGUGGCGAAGGCGACUUUCUGGCCAUAUACUGACGCUGAGGUACGAAAGCGUGGGUAGCAAACAGG